This 105-nucleotide small RNA is filed under the name Pantoea sp. GL120224-02. RNAcentral describes it as "SraH RNA". The record is from RNAcentral. Lineage: Bacteria; Pseudomonadati; Pseudomonadota; Gammaproteobacteria; Enterobacterales; Erwiniaceae.
GCGUUAACCAAUACCAUACUGUUGCUGAUCUAUUCGACUUCUAACGAUAGCAGCAGUACCCAUUUCCCUGGUGUUGGCGCAGUAUUCGCGCACCCCAGUUUCGAC